CAAAUGGAUGUUAAAAGCGCCCUUUUUAAUGGAUUUAUCGAGAAAGAAGCUUUUGUAAAACAUCCUCCAUGCUUUGAGGAUUCAAAAUUUCCAUACCAUGUAUACAAGCUUUCCAAAAAACUAUAUGGGUCGAAACAAGCUUCAUGUGCCUGGUAUAAUAGACAGAGUACUUUUCUUAUUGAUCAUAGCUUUACCAGAGGUAAAAUAGAAACUACUUUAUUUAUUAAACGAUCAUCAAAAGGUAAUCUCAUUAUUCAAAUUUAUGUUGAUGAUAUUAUAUUUGGUAGUUCUAACCCUCUUAUGUGCAAGGAAUUUUCAAAUCUUAUGCAAAGAGAGUUUGAAAUGAGCAUGAUGGGUGAACUCAUGUUCUUCCUUGGGCUACAAAUCCAACAAACCGAAAAAGGAAUUUUUAUUUGUCAGACCAAAUAUACAAAAGAGCUGAUUCAAAAAUUUAGUAUUAACAAUGAAAAAUCAAUUGGAACUCCUAUAAGCCCCGCUUCAAAUCUAGACAAAGACUAACAGGGCACCCUAGUUGAUGAAACCAAAUACAGGGGAAUGACUGGAUCACUACUAUAUCUGACAGCAAGUCAACCAGAUAUUAUGCUCAGCGUAUGUAAAUGUGACAGGUUUUAGUUUGCUCCCAAGGAAUCACAUUUGACUGCUGUAAAGAGAAUUAUUCGAUAUCUCAUUAGAACUGUAUCUCAUGGAUUGUGGUAUCCACGCUCUAACUUUUUUAUAUUAAGAGGUUUUUCAAAUGCUGAUCUCCAGAUGAUAAAAAAUAUAGAAUAGCACAAGCGGCACUUGUCAAUUACUAGAAAAGGCAUUAAUAUCCUGGAACAGUAAAAAGCAAGCAUCAGUCGCCCAGUCUACUACCGAAGCUGAAUAUAUUGCUAUUGGACAUUGUUGUGCACAACUACUAUGGAUGUCUCAUCAAUUGGAUGACUAUGAGCUUUCGUUUAAACCUAUACAAAUUUCUAGUGAUAAUUCUAGUGCGAUUUGUAUUUCAAAAAUCAUGUGCACCAUUCCAGAGAAAUCAUAUAGAUAUUAAGUAUUAUUUUAUUAGAGAUCAUGUUCUUAAAGAAGAUAUAGAAAUAGUCUUUGUUGGCACCUCUGCUCAAUUAGCUGAUAUUUUUACUAAAACUUUGUUAGAAGAAAGAUUUUGUACUUUGAGAAAAUUGCUUAGUAUUAUUUGCUUUUCUAAUAAAUCUUAGGACCUAUGUGCUCAAUUACUUUUAAGUGCUAUAAUUGUCCUUUCUCACGCAUUAAUUACGCCUCCGAUUUUUUCCCUGUCUUUUCACUUUGUUCACAUGAUUCGCAGUCGAAGAUGGAAAGUCAAUCAUCACGUCUUCUCAACUGACAACUUUUCCUUUUCUGUACCCAACCACCAAAACCCUGUUCUUAAGUUAGAAAACCCCCUUAGUCCUCUCAUCUCCAUCUUCUCUCCAAAACCUCGAGAAAAUCCCCUCUUCUACAAUGGCGAAACACCCCAAGAAUCACUCUGCUUCCACCAGAAAAAGUACCCACUCUAAGGCAAAACCCCCUUCUGCGCCUCCUAAGCAAGUAGACCUAGGGUAUGAUCACUCUGAAGGCUUCGCCUCAUCUCAAGGUGAUUUCUCUGAACACUCCUUAGACAAAUGACCCAUGGAAGAUCCUCCCAUUUCAUCGACCCCAAAGAAAUCAAAGGUUGAUUUCUCUGCCUCAUUUGAGUCUGACCUAAACUUCUGGGAUACCCCAAAUAGGGAUCUUUUCAUUACUCUUAAGGACAAUCCCAUCGCCCAUGGAAGGAUCGUGGAUCUUGAUGAUAUGGAAGCUCUCAACUGUAAGGUUAAAGAACUCUUUGUUUAUCAAAGGUAGGAAAAAUUCCUCUCUAUUCCUCCGCCUAAGGUAUAUAAACCCCUGGUCAAAAUGUUUUAUGCAAAUCUUCGCUCCAGUAAACUAGAUAGGCUAGAAUCUCUAGUGCUAGAUAGCGCAUUGUUCUUGAUUGUUCCUUGUUUGACUCUCUUUUCCAAUGUCAUUGCUCUGGUUUCCCUACUCUUUCUAAAAAUGCGUCGCUUGAGAAUUUUGAAAUUUGUUUUGACCAAGCCAAACAAUGCAUUGUUGAAUGUCCCUCUGAAAUUCUUCCAAACCAAUUGGGCCCCAGUGAUGUAAGUUUUGAAACUCGGGUUCUAGCCCAUAUUGUGGCGAGCACCCUGCUUCCCGUACAGGUUCCUUUUCAACCUUCUCUCAAAGGGAUACAUUUUUUGUCUACUACCUCAUCACCAAACUCAAACUCAAGUUGUUCUCCUUGGUCAACAAUUUCAUGAUAGAAAGUGCUGAAGACACCACUAGUUUACCCUACGACAUGGCCAUCACUCAUAUUCUAGAAGCUCAUCAAAUUUCUCUAUCCAACUAUCCCUUCAUUACUGUCUUCAAGUCCUAUAAUUCUAGAGCCUUUGCUAGUAUGCUAUGUGAGUAUCAAUGGCUCCUGGUCAAGAAAAAUGAGAGUGUAGCAAAGCAGGCUUCUUUGGAAACUAAACCUUCAUCAGUUUUUCCUCCUCUUACUCUUGUCAGUUCUGAGCUUAGUGAGAAGCUUAGUUCUAUUGAUUCCAAACUCUCUAACAUCAAGAAUCUCCUUUUCGACACUCAGUCCACUAUAAGUGACAUUCAUGCUACUUCAAAGGAAAUAGGGUCUAACGUGUCAAAAACCAGAGUUGCUGUUCUCAGAGCAAGGGAGAAUGCUGUCAAGGCCUUCAAGGAGGUUCACAAUAGGCUGGAUGGUAUGAGCGUUGCUGCAACAACUAUCUUCGAACAGUUGAAGGAGGCCAUCUGCAACACCCUUUCCUAUUUCCUGCGUUGCUGGUGUGGAUGUUUUUUAAACUAUGUUCUUUUUGACAACUUGUUUUGGUGGUAUUGUGGGUUGUGAUUGAAGCCCUUGGAUAACUUUUUUGCUACUGUGGGCUGUUUCACAGUCGCUGGAUAAUCUCUUCACCUUCUCUACUUUAUUGUUAUAUGUGUUUAUAAUCCCUCUUUAUUGACGGCAAAAAGGGGGAGAAUGACUAUGUAUCUAUAUGUGUAUCAUAUAUUUUCCUAUAUCAUAUGUAUAUGUAUAAGUACAAGUUGACUGGAUGUCUAUAUGUGUAUGUGUAUUGGUCGACUGCACAUAUUAUAUAUGUGUAUUAGUAGCAUAUAUUGUAUAUUAUAUAGGUAUUAGUCAGUACAAGUCGACUACACACAUUGAGGGGGAGAGUCAUGGACAGGUCAAGUCGAAUGCAUACAUUAAGGAGGGGUCAAGCGUACAUACACUGAGGGGGAGUCAAGUCAACUAGUAAAACACAGGGAGGUCGACUGGUCUUUACUUCUUUACCUUAUUACAUCAUUUUGCCAUCAUAAAAAAUGGGGAGACUGUUAACUCAUGUUUUACUGAUACAAAUAAUAUACAUGUGCAAGAAAUCAAGAAGUAAAGAAGAUUAUUGGAAUUGUUCAUGAUGUACAAAGAAAGAAAUCAAUCAGCAUGUGAUCAACAAAUCUUGAUUGCCUUCUGCGCCUCCUAAGCAAGUAGACCUAGGGUAUGAUCACUCUGAAGGCUUCGCCUCAUCUCAAGGUGAUUUCUCUGAACACUCCUUAGACAAAUGACCCAUGGAAGAUCCUCCCAUUUCAUCGACCCCAAAGAAAUCAAAGGUUGAUUUCUCUGCCUCAUUUGAGUGAAUCAUGGGUAGAAUCACGGAAGACUGAAUGAUACGAGGAAAUAUGGGAAGCGAGCACAUUUGGAAGAACCAACAAUCAAGGAGAAAUCAAGUAAAGCAAUCCUCUACUAAAGGAAAGCAAUCUAGAGAAACAACGGCUCAUUCCUUAUUCUUGGAAAGAAUCAAUUCUUUCCAAGGAUAAAAUCUCUUGGGAUGUCAAGCCUCUACCAUCCAUCAAAGUAUUUAUACUCCCUUGUAAACCCUAGUUUAGAUAUACUUCGAUCAAACCAAGCCCCUCUUUUUAUUCUACUGCAAAAAAGCAUUGUAGUUCACUAAGAUCUGUUGUGUAAAAAGCCAGGGAUAGAAAGAGAGACCAAACUUUGUGAGGUUCUACUACAAACAAACAUUGUAGUUCACUAAGAUCUGUUGUGUAAAAAGUCAGAGAUAGAAAGAGAGAACAAAAUUGGUGAGACACUGUAUAAAAAAUGAGUGCUAGAUAAACUGAGCGAUAUAUACCACAUAUGUACUAGGAAGAAACUCAUUUACUAAAGAGAACUCCUUUUCAACCAAAGGGGACUGGAUUAGGAUUCACAUUGAAUCCGAACCAGUAUAAAAAUCUAUGUGUUUUUAAUUCGUGCAAUUAUUCUUUACAUUUUACUUUCAGUUAUCAUAUCUGCUAAAUUAUCAUAUUCAGUCGACUACUCAAGUUAUAAGUCAACUUAUAAGCAAUUAAUUUUAAGUAUUUACAAUUGAACCCCCCUUGUACUUUCAAUUGCUUUUAGAGCAAGGCUCACAUUUUACCUUUUGUUUAAUAGCUUGUGAGAAAAGAUCAUGGAAAAGAUUUACAGUUCACCCCCCUCCCCAUGUACUUUCACCAGGUUCUCCAACAUCAAACCACCUGAUAGGAGAUCUGCACUUACGCCCAUAUAAAGCCUCAUUUAGAGCCAUCUAGAUACUGGAGUGAUAACUGUUAUUAUAUGUAAACUCGAUAAGAGGUAGGAGUUCAUCCCAACUUCUUUUAAAAUCCAGCACACAUGCUCGUAACAUAUCCUCGAGCAUUUGAAAUGUACGCUCGACCUGUCCAUCAGUUUGUGGAUGAAAAGUUGUGCUAAGAUUUGGCUGGGUCCCUAGAUCGUUCUGGAAAUGACCUCCAAAAAUAUGUUGUAAACUUGGUCUCACGGUUAGAUCUAAUAGAUAUUGGUACUACGUGUAGUCACACUAUCUCUUUAGUAUACAACUUUACAUAAUCUUCUACUAUAUAUAUAGAUCUGGCUGGUAGGAAAUGAGCUGAUUUCAUGAGCCUAUCGACUAUCGCCCAUAUGGAAUCAAACUUACAAUGAGAACGAGGUAAACCCAUGAUAAACUCCAUAUUAUAGCCUCUCAUUUCCAUGUCAGGAUCUCUAUAGUCUACACUAGCCCUACGACCUUCUUGUGCUCUAUCUUCACCUUCUGGCAACUAGGACGAUGAGUGACAUACUCAAUAAUGUUAUUCUUCCCUUGAUGUCAUGAUACAUCUUCGUUGACCCAAGAUGAAUGGAAUACCAUGAAUAAUGUGCCUCUGACAUAAUUCUGUCUCAUAGCCCUGCUACAUUUGGAACAUACAAACGACCCAUGUAUCUAAGAACCCCAUCUCCCUUAAGCUAUAACAAUGGCUUCUUAUGCUACGGAACUCGCUCUCUCAACUUGACCAACUCUGGUCUUCACAUUACCUCUCCUUUAAUUCAGUUAUAAGAGGUGGUUUUGCAGUAUUUUGGAGUACGACUCCACCAUUUCCAGGAGUUAAUUGUAUUUUCUCGGCCGCUACAUUCCCUCUCCUUUACUUCAAUUAAUUGUCUUUUCACGGACUUUACCUGAGCUAAGCCACCCAUCGAUCGACGACUUAAGGAAUCUGGUACAGCGUAUGCUUUCUUCGGAUGCCAUGAUACAGAAUGUUGACAUCAUAAUCUUUCAAUAACUCAAGUCGUUGCCUCUGUCGCAAAUUCAACUCUUUUUGCUUGAAAAUAUAUUGCAGGCUUUUAUGAUCUGUGAACACAUCAACAUGAACACCAUAUAAAUAAUGCUGCCAUAUCUUAAGUGCAUGGAUAAUCGCAGCUAAUUCGAGGUCGUGGGUCAGAUAAUUUCACUCAUAGUUCCUUAACUGCCUUGAAAAAUACGCAAUAACUUUCCCAUGUUACAUCUGGACACAACCUAACCCGACAAUUGAGGUAUCACAAUACAUGGCAUAACAAUAUGGACGUCUGAAAGUGCUAGAACUGGCGCUGAGGUCAAUUAUUUUUAGCUCUUUGAAACUCUUCUCACCGGAUUCUGUCCACUAAAACAUAGUUUCUUUCUGCUUCAACUUCGUUAGUGGUGCUGUAAGAGAAGAAAAACCCUCCACGAACCUCCAGUAGUAUCCUGUUAAGCCUAGAAAACUACAAACCUCUAUCGGAGUGGUAGGUCUAGGCUAGGAUUUCACAGCCUUAAUCUUCUGAUUGUUUACCUUUAUACCUCCAUCGGAUACAAUGUGCCCUAAAAAUGCUACAGGCUUCAACCAGAACUUACAAUUAGAAAACUUAGCAAAAAAUUUAUUAUCACCAAGGGUUUGGAGUACCACUCGUAGGUGGUCAAUAUGCUCAUCCUCUGAAUGUGAAUAAACCAGAAUGUUAUCAAUAGAGACUAUCACAAACAGAGCCAAAUAUGGCUAGCAUAGGCUAUUCAUCAAGUCCAUAAAUGUGGCAGGUGCAUUCGUCAACCUGAAGGAAAUGACAAGGAACUUGAAGUGGCCAUAUUGGGUCUUGAAGGUUGUCUUAGGAAUAUCUUUCUCCAAAAAUCUAACUUGGUGGUAUCCCGACCUCAGGUAUAUCUUUGAAAAGCAUCGAGCCCCCUGCAACUGAUCAAACAAGUCAUCGAUCUUUGGAAGUGGAUACUUAUUCUUAAUAGGUACCUUGUUUAGCUACCUAUAAUCGAUACAGAUCCUAAACGAGUCAUCUUUCUUCCGCACAAACAGUACCGGUGCACACUAAGGUGAAGUACAGGACCCGAUGAAACCUUUCUCCAACAAAUCUUUUAACUGCUCCUUCAACUCCUUCAAUUCGGUAGGCGUAAUUCUAUACGAAGUGAUGGAUAUUGGUUGAGUUUUCCCAGAAGCAAAUCGUUGCCAAAAUUAAUCUCUCGCUUUGGAGGAAUACAUGGAAGUUCAUCUGGAAAUACAUCUGCAUACUCUUUUACUACUGGAAUAGACCAAAGUGUAGGUAUCUUCGCAUAUGUAUCCCCAACUCACACAAUAUGAUAAAUGCAAUGAUCAUCUUCCUCGCCUUCAGAUAGGAGAUAAACCUACCUAUGGAUGUCACUAUAUUACCUACCCAUUCAAGGACUGGCUUACCCGAAAAAUGAAAUCUAGCUAUCUUUUCUCGACAAUCAACGGUGGCAUAGAAAGGUGACAACUAGUCCAUGAACAUGAUAGCAUCAAAAUCCAACAUCUUCAGCUUAACUAGGUCGGCUGAGGUCUGACGACCACAAACUGACACCGUACAACUUCAGUAAACACAUCUAGCCAUAAUUGGUUCUUCGACCGGUGUAGAUACCGCAAAAGGAUUACUUAGUAUUUCAGGCACAAUACAAAAUUUCCUUGCAACAUAUGGGGUAAUACAUGAUAAAGUAGAUCUUGGGUCUAUCAAGCAUAAACAUAGUGAGAGAAAAUGGUAAACAUACCGGUCACAUUGUCUAGAGAGGACACUUGCUCCUGUUGACCCGCUAGUGUGUAGCUACGAUUCUAGUUACCACAUGAGCUGGAACCUCUACAUCUGUCGUGGCCUCUACCAACCAAAGACUGAGACUCGCGCCCUGAAGGAUGCACAAGCUGGCACUAGCCCUGGGCAUGGAUUCUUCUUUGAUUGAAGGAACGGGACAGAAGAGAACCAGAACCAUAUCCUUCACACAUUCAGUCUGAUCUUAUCUGCGCUAUUGCCCGAUCAUAGCUGUACUGUAUUAGAUUAGUUAUCCGUCUCCCCUGCCCUGUUAGAACAGUCUGGUCUGUAAAAACACAGGGGCGACAUCCUCCUAUAAUAGUUAGCAGUACUGAACAAGCGAGUCAUCGGUCCGAGGAAAGAAAAGGACCGCCUUUGAAAAAAAAAAAAGGAACUCGCUAGGCCUUCAGAACAAAGGCGAUUCUGUUCAUGCUUCAGACGAUCUGGCUAAUUCUAUAUACAACUAUCUAAUUUUCUUCUAUUAUAUAUAAAGGCGUAAGGGCGAAGGCCUAUUUAGCGCCUUGGAAAAGGUAACCGGUUAGGUUGACUUUGGAAAGGCUACUAAGGACCGGGUGAAGAAUGAAAAACGUCCGCUAAAGCCCACGGGAUAAGGUUUGCAGAUGCGAUCAUGAAUCGAACCAGAUCGAAACAUUCAGCUGUCGACGGUUUUGAAAAAAAAAGGACCAGGAGCUAGUUUGGGGUAUCACGGGGCCUUACUUAUUCAAGGGGGACUUGAUUCUGAAAUGGAAUGAUUGAUAGAAAUUUCAUGGCUUCAAUUCCGCCCCUAAAGCUAGCUCCUACUCCUCCUCCUUCUCCUUUAGGAUAGGAUCCUCCUUGGUCCUUUUUACAUAAUACUCUCGGCCGCCCAUCAUCUACCUUUGUCUCAAUCAUGGGCGAUUGAAGCUAAUACAAUAAAAGAAUGCAAGGAAGGGUUCCCCCAGCAAAGGCAUCUCGACUGCUUCCAAAAUCGGGUCAUCGACCAGUAAUGCGACUUGUAGAAGACUCCCUACCUAUACCUAGCGGAGUUGGCACUAAACUAAUAAGGAGAGCAGAAAGCAGCUAGCCGCCAUCAGGAGAUCCACGACUUUAAGAUUAAGAUCCGCUUAUUCUUUGAGAUGACAAAGCUCCCCACUAGACGCAAAUUGCCGAAUCAACACCAGGCAGUAUAGGAGUCCUUUCUUUGAUCGGCCUUCCCCAGACCAGAACUGAAAGGACAUACCAGCCCCCUCAGGAUUAUUGGGCAUUCCUUCAUGUCGGGAGGAGGUAGCGGUUGGAGGAGAAGAUA
Molecule: long non-coding RNA, 8672 nt
Filed under: Nicotiana benthamiana
Lineage: Eukaryota; Viridiplantae; Streptophyta; Magnoliopsida; Solanales; Solanaceae
Description: long non-coding RNA (NBEN_LNC020793)
Source: RNAcentral